CAGCAGCCGCGGGAAUACGUAGGUGGCAAGCGUUGUCCGGAAUUAUUGGGCGUAAAGGGCUCGCAGGCGGUUUCUUAAGUCUGAUGUGGAAGCCCCCGGCUCAACCGGGGAGGGUCAUUGGAAACUGGGAAACUUGAGUGCAGAAGAGGAGAGUGGAAUUCCACGUGUAGCGGUGAAAUGCGUAGAGAUGUGGAGGAACACCAGUGGCGAAGGCGACUCUCUGGUCUGUAACUGACGCUGAGGAGCGAAAGCGUGGGGAGCGAACAGGAUUAGAUACCCGGGUAGUCCCUGUCUCUUAUAA
RNAcentral lists this ribosomal RNA (301 nucleotides) under uncultured bacterium. RNAcentral describes it as "partial 16S ribosomal RNA". It matches the Rfam family "Bacterial small subunit ribosomal RNA", at positions 509 to 809 of the family's 1533-position model. The record is from RNAcentral.